RNAcentral lists this transfer RNA (73 nucleotides) under Camelus bactrianus (Bactrian camel). It matches the Rfam family "tRNA". From Rfam's summary of the family: Transfer RNA (tRNA) molecules are approximately 80 nucleotides in length. Their secondary structure includes four short double-helical elements and three loops (D, anti-codon, and T loops). Further hydrogen bonds mediate the characteristic L-shaped molecular structure. tRNAs have two regions of fundamental functional importance: the anti-codon, which is responsible for specific mRNA codon recognition, and the 3' end, to which the tRNAs corresponding amino acid is attached (by aminoacyl-tRNA synthetases). tRNAs cope with the degeneracy of the genetic code in two manners: having more than one tRNA (with a specific anti-codon) for a particular amino acid; and 'wobble' base-pairing, i.e. permitting non-standard base-pairing at the 3rd anti-codon position. Lineage: Eukaryota; Metazoa; Chordata; Mammalia; Artiodactyla; Camelidae. RNAcentral also lists the same sequence under 2 other names. The record is from Rfam by way of RNAcentral.
GAGGGUAUAGCUCAAGUGGUAGAGCACAUGCUUAGCAUGCGCAAGGCCCUGGGUUCAAUCCCUAGCACCUCCU